Molecule: transfer RNA, 73 nt
Filed under: Euglena archaeoplastidiata
Lineage: Eukaryota; Euglenozoa; Euglenophyceae; Euglenales; Euglenaceae
Description: tRNA-Val
Rfam family: tRNA
About the family: Transfer RNA (tRNA) molecules are approximately 80 nucleotides in length.
Source: RNAcentral
GGGGGUAUAGCUCAGUUGGUAGAGCGUCUGCCUUACAAGCAGAAUGUCAGCAGUUCGAGUCUGUUUGUCCCCA